CUGAUCCNGCAAUGCCGCGUGAGUGAAGAAGGCCUUCGGGUUGUAAAGCUCUUUUGUCAGGGAAGAAACGGUGGACUCUAAUACAGAUCACUAAUGACGGUACCUGAAGAAUAAGCACCGGCUAACUACGUGCCAGCAGCCGCGGUAAUACGUAGGGUGCAAGCGUUAAUCGGAAUUACUGGGCGUAAAGCGUGCGCAGGCGGUUUGGUAAGACAGAUGUGAAAUCCCCGGGCUCAACCUGGGAAUUGCAUUUGUGACUGCCCGGCUAGAGUGUGUCAGAGGGGGGUAGAAUUCCACGUGUAGCAGUGAAAUGCGUAGAGAUGUGGAGGAAUACCGAUGGCGAAGGCAGCCCCCUGGGAUAACACUGACGCUCAUGCACGAAAGCGUGGGGAGCAAACAGGAUUAGAUACCCUGGUAGUCCACGCCCUAAACGAUGUCUACUAGUUGUCGGGACUUAAUUGUCUUGGUAACGCAGCUAACGCG
This 483-nucleotide ribosomal RNA is filed under the name Herminiimonas sp. RNAcentral describes it as "bacterial SSU rRNA". It matches the Rfam family "Bacterial small subunit ribosomal RNA", at positions 383 to 859 of the family's 1533-position model. Lineage: Bacteria; Pseudomonadati; Pseudomonadota; Betaproteobacteria; Burkholderiales; Oxalobacteraceae. The record is from RNAcentral.